Molecule: non-coding RNA, 743 nt
Organism: Phalacrocorax carbo (great cormorant)
Lineage: Eukaryota; Metazoa; Chordata; Aves; Suliformes; Phalacrocoracidae
Source: RefSeq, a predicted model, not a curated record
UAUUGUUUAUUAAGACUUAUGUUAAGCUCAAUGUAAAGCAUGCGAAGAAUACCUCCCAGGCGUGCUUAUGCAAGAUAACCAUCAGAGAUAAGACAAGCAACCCCAUAUCACCAGGAAGCAGGAAACGACCCCCUAACAACAACUGAAGCAUGCGAAAAGUACCUCCACUAUCUCAUUGAACAUGGAAGUAAAGAUGUAUAAAGAGAGACUGUUUGAACUGCUCAGUACGGCAGUUGGCGGAGCGCAGACUCCCCUGCCGUCCAGCGCUGUAUUUGCUCAUAUUCUACUUGCUACAAUUAAUAAAAUUCUAAUUGGAUUAUGAUCCAUUGUGGUCUCAAUUUAUGACAAUUUGGUGCCGUGACUCGGAUAAGGAACGGUGAGCUUCUGUCCUCCGGGGAGGCGCCCCGCGGCAAUCCGCGGCCCCGCGACCGACAGCUUACCUCAACCUUACCGACGAACCUAAAUUCUAGAAUGAUGAGCAAAGGAGAAACCGGUAAAAUCCCAUAAAAAUUCUGUGCACGGGAGUCCGGACGAAGACGCAGGGCGCAAACAGCUGUCCGGACUGCUGAGCGUGGAUGGACUCAUGCCAGUCGCAUUAAAGGCCCAGUGACGAGACCCCACUGGAAAGUAAUCAGUACUCCAGGUGACACCAAGAUAACUCUGAAAAGAUAACGUAAUGAUAAGAACUUUAGUUGAUUAUUUUGCCGCAUUACCUUUUGGUAUAAAGUGUAUAUUGCUGUUUA